Long non-coding RNA from Esox lucius (northern pike), 967 nucleotides. RefSeq lists it as uncharacterized. NCBI's taxonomy places the organism in Eukaryota, Metazoa, Chordata, Actinopteri, Esociformes, Esocidae. The transcript has 3 exons. The record is from RefSeq and is a predicted model, not a curated record.
AAUAGCCCGAUAAUGCUUUAUGAAACGCGUAACACUUUACAUUUAAAAAUAUUGUUUGGCUAUUUUUUUUUCUCUUUUCAAUGUUCGUAAGUUUUUCUCGUGCCUUAUCUCCCGUAUGGGCAUGGCUCUGUGGUGGGUGGAAAAGAGCACCGAACAGCCGCUUAGCUUAGCGCGGUAGGCUAGACCACGGCUGAAACCCCCUGUCAAUCUGAGUAGCGUAGCUGGUUAGCUAGGCUAGUCCACAUACAGUUAGAGCCCUGCCAGAGCCCUGCUAGAGCCCUGCCAAGCCAACGCAUUACCAGCCCUAAUCCCACAAGCUGAAGCUGGGGAUCUUACAAUCUGAGAACAAUGGCUCUUACUUCCGAAAUCUGACAGAGGCCCUGCCACAGCAGACAUAGAUUUUGGGUGCAGAGAGUCGAGGGGGGGUGAGGGGGGACAGGGAGAGGUGGUUCAUGGGGAGGACUAAAGCCAUGAGGAGUAGAGGAAGAACAAGGAGAACGGGAGCCACUAAUAGACAAAUUGUCUUAAGGGAGUUGGGGUAAAAUCAACGAGGAACAACAGAGCAACUGCAACACAAAUGUCAAAUGUCUCUGUUUUGUGAGAAAGACAGAGAGGCUCUUAGUGGAACGAAACAGGUCAAGGUGAAAGGUUGUGCUAAACAACUACAGAGCCUGAAUUCGAGACAUGCUACAAGAACAUGUGGAACAGACGUGUGGUGAGUCCCAGAGACCUAGUUGAACUGUGGCACAGAAAUCCAGCAGAAGAUAUAUCUGUUUUGAUAUACGGACGCAAAUGGCAGGUGUUGUGUGUGUUUGAGCGGCUGGAGAAAGUGAAGGCGACACAGAGUAAACCCGACAACCUUUGAAGACAGAAGUCCAGUUCUGCGUGACCAUUCUGUUUGUAAAAUUCCUGGGUGGUUUUUUUCGUUCAUAUAUGUUCUGAGUUCAAAUAAACGCCCACAGGCAAC